UGACGCAGGGCUCAGAGAAGCAGAAGGAGC
RNAcentral lists this non-coding RNA (30 nucleotides) under Homo sapiens (human). Lineage: Eukaryota; Metazoa; Chordata; Mammalia; Primates; Hominidae. The record is from RNAcentral.